GGCCAACCAUAAACCGUGUGGGCU
This 24-nucleotide non-coding RNA is filed under the name Arabidopsis thaliana (thale cress). The record is from RNAcentral. Lineage: Eukaryota; Viridiplantae; Streptophyta; Magnoliopsida; Brassicales; Brassicaceae.